CCUACGUGAGGCAGCAGUGGGGAAUAUUGCACAAUGGGGGAAACCCUGAUGCAGCGACGCCGCGUGAGUGAAGAAGUAUUUCGGUAUGUAAAGCUCUAUCAGCAGGGACGAAGAAAGACGGUACCUGACUAAGAAGCCCCGGCUAACUCCGUGCUAGCAGCCGCGGUAAUACGUAGGGGGCAAGCGUUAUCCGGAUUUACUGGGUGUAAAGGGAGCGUAGAAGGCUGUGCAAGUCUGAAGUGAAAGCCACGGGCGCAACCCUGGGACUGCUUUGGAAACCGUGGAGCUAGAGUGCUGGAGAGGUAAGUGGAAUUCCUAGUGUAGCGGUGAAAUGCGUAGAUAUUAGGAGGAACACCAGUGGCGAAGGUGGCUUACUGGACAGUAACUGACGUUGAGGCUCGAAAGCGUGGGGAGCAAACAGGAUUAGAUACCCCUGUAGUC
RNAcentral lists this ribosomal RNA (441 nucleotides) under uncultured bacterium. RNAcentral describes it as "partial 16S ribosomal RNA". It matches the Rfam family "Bacterial small subunit ribosomal RNA", at positions 338 to 795 of the family's 1533-position model. The record is from RNAcentral.